RNAcentral lists this ribosomal RNA (252 nucleotides) under uncultured bacterium. RNAcentral describes it as "partial 16S ribosomal RNA". It matches the Rfam family "Bacterial small subunit ribosomal RNA", at positions 524 to 776 of the family's 1533-position model. The record is from RNAcentral.
UACGUAGGGUGCGAGCGUUAAUCGGAAUUACUGGGCGUAAAGUGUGCGCAGGCGGCCGAGCAAGUCGAGUGUGAAAGCCCCGAGCUUAACUUGUGAAUUGCGCUCGAAACUACUUGGCUGGAGUGUGGCAGAGGAAGGUGGAAUUCCGGUGUAGCGGUGAAAUGCGUAGAUAUCGGAAGGAACACCAGUGGCGAAGGCGGCUUCCUGGACUAAUACUGACGCUGAGGUGCGAAAGCGUGGGGAGCAAACAGG